Molecule: long non-coding RNA, 924 nt
Filed under: Gouania willdenowi (blunt-snouted clingfish)
Lineage: Eukaryota; Metazoa; Chordata; Actinopteri; Blenniiformes; Gobiesocidae
Description: lncRNA (ENSGWIG00000002960.1)
Source: RNAcentral
AUGUUUCAGUAUAAUUGCUACAGACCUGACAUGGAGUUUGAAGUACAACAAUUGCUUUGGCUUUUAGCUACUUUCACCUUGACAACACAAGAGUUGGUGAAACUCAAAAUGAAACCAAUUGUUAUCGCAGAAUGCGGCAAACAAGUUUCUCUGCACUGCAACACCUCAUCUCAGCAGGAGUUAUCGAUCAAAUAUAUGGAGUGGUCACAGGGCAAUGCGCUGUUAUGUUCUCUGGACAAUAAAGGAACAGUUACCAAAAACCUCAGCAACUCUGGGAGGGAUUUUUCCUGCAAGUAUACAAAUGGAAGCCUGUCGCUCAUCUUGGCCAAAGUGGUUCCUCUGGAGGUCAGACACUGGAAGCCAUACAGAUGCAAACAAUACUCCACCCAGGGAAUAUUGCAAGGAUAUACCAAAGUACAGCUACAAGAGUGCAAUGGCACCAUUGAAACUGUGCUGAAGACAGACGGCCCCGCCUGCACUUUCAACCAUGUUUACCCCGACGGAGAUGUGCACUGGUUUUCCAACUCCCGUAACCUCUCUGAUUGGUCUCCGCAUAACACAACUAAACGUGUGGAUGAACAGGGUUGGUUGACCAUUCAUAGCUACUUGGAAGAGAAACACCUGCAAGGGACGUACAACUGCUCCUUGAUGAGCACCGUUUCUGGGAGACUCAUUGCCAGUGCUCUGGUUCAUCAAGCUCCAUUGACAAAGACAGUCAAAUUGUUUGAAAAAACACCCAAUAACAGCCAUCGAAUCAGAUUACUGGGGCGUACUUGGAUGGUUUCAUUGAUUUUACUUUUCUUUAUUGUCAAAAGUUAGAUCAUAUUGUUUCAAAGAAAAUUCACAACAAAAACAUGAACCAGAUGUAUGGGGUGCCUAUUGUAAAGUUGUGCAUGUUAAAAUAAACAGCAACUUUUUGCAACA